UACGUAGGGUGCAAGCGUUAAUCGGAAUUACUGGGCGUAAAGCGCACGCAGGCGGUUUGUUAAGUCAGAUGUGAAAUCCCCGCGCUUAACGUGGGAACUGCAUUUGAAACUGGCAAGCUAGAGUCUUGUAGAGGGGGGUAGAAUUCCAGGUGUAGCGGUGAAAUGCGUAGAGAUCUGGAGGAAUACCGGUGGCGAAGGCGGCCCCCUGGACAAAGACUGACGCUCAGGUGCGAAAGCGUGGGGAGCAAACAGG
RNAcentral lists this ribosomal RNA (253 nucleotides) under uncultured bacterium. RNAcentral's name for it is "partial 16S ribosomal RNA". It matches the Rfam family "Bacterial small subunit ribosomal RNA", at positions 524 to 776 of the family's 1533-position model. The record is from RNAcentral.